This 372-nucleotide ribosomal RNA is filed under the name uncultured alga. RNAcentral's name for it is "partial 23S ribosomal RNA". It matches the Rfam family "Bacterial large subunit ribosomal RNA", at positions 2098 to 2465 of the family's 2925-position model. The record is from RNAcentral.
GCUUGACUGUAGCUUGUAAUUGGGUUCGGGCUUUUUUUGCGCAGCCUAGGUGGGAGGCAACGAUGAUUUUUUUUCCGGAAAAAAUUUGAGCCGUUAGUGAGAGACCACUCUGAAAAGGCUAGAAUCCUAAUAAUGAUCCUUGAAUCAGGACAUUUGACAGUUGCAGGUGGGCAGUUUUUACUGGGGCGGUAUUCUCCUAAAAAGUAACGGAGGGGUGCAAAGGUUCCCUCAAGCUGGACGGAAAUCAGCUUAAGAGUGUAAAGGCAAAAGGGAGCUUGACUGCAAGACCUACAAGUCGAGCAGGGGCGAAAGCCGGCCUUAGUGAUCCGACGGUACCACGUGGAAGGGCCGUCGCUCAACGGAUAAAAGUUA